This 174-nucleotide non-coding RNA is filed under the name Clostridiales bacterium. RNAcentral describes it as "6S RNA". It matches the Rfam family "6S / SsrS RNA". Rfam says of the family: E. coli 6S RNA was the first non coding RNA to be sequenced, but its function was unknown until recently. It consists of 184 nucleotides that fold into an extended hairpin structure with a large single-stranded internal bulge. The record is from RNAcentral. Lineage: Bacteria; Bacillati; Bacillota; Clostridia; Eubacteriales.
AACAACCUGCGGUGUACGGAAAUCUUUUAAUUCAACCGACAUAAUGUAAAAGGGAAUUCAAGUUUGACUGCCUAUGACAAGCCCGCUUUGACGGGACGCCAGAAUCAGCCAACAGAACACCCACCUGCCUAGGUGCGGGUGUGAAUUAUGGAUUUGCGGCAUUGCGGGUUAUUU